Molecule: ribosomal RNA, 253 nt
Filed under: uncultured bacterium
Lineage: Bacteria
Description: partial 16S ribosomal RNA
Rfam family: Bacterial small subunit ribosomal RNA
Source: RNAcentral
UACAGAGGAUGCAAGCGUUAUCCGGAAUGAUUGGGCGUAAAGCGUCUGUAGGUGGCUUUUUAAGUCCGCCGUCAAAUCCCAGGGCUCAACUCUGGACAGGCGGUGGAAACUACCAAGCUGGAGUACGGUAGGGGCAGAGGGAAUUUCCGGUGGAGCGGUGAAAUGCGUAGAGAUCGGAAAGAACACCAGUGGCGAAAGCGGCUUCCUGGUCCGACACCGACGUUCAGGCACGAAAGCGUGGGGAGCAAACAGG